This 404-nucleotide ribosomal RNA is filed under the name uncultured bacterium. RNAcentral describes it as "bacterial SSU rRNA". It matches the Rfam family "Bacterial small subunit ribosomal RNA", at positions 354 to 774 of the family's 1533-position model. The record is from RNAcentral.
GUGAGGGAUAUUGGUCAAUGGGCGCAAGCCUGAACCAGCGACGCCGCGUGGGUGAAGAAGGUCUUCGGAUCGUAAAGCCCUUUUCCCACUGAAGAGGAAGGACGGUAGGUGGGGAAGAAGUCUCGGCUGACUACGUGCCAGCAGCCGCGGUAAAACGUAGGAGACAAGCGUUAUCCGGAGUUACUGGGCGUAAAGGGCGUGCAGGUGGCGUCUUAAGUCUGUUGUGAAAGCGCCUGGCUUAACCGGGCGAGGCCAAUGGAGACUGAGAGGCUGGAGGACGGCGGAGGGGUGUGGAAUUCCGGGUGUAGUGGUGAAAUGCGUAGAGAUCCGGAGGAACACCAGAGGCGAAGGCGGCACUCUAAGCCGUACCUGACACUGAGACGCGACAGCACGGGGAGCAAACG